UUUUGCUUCUCUAUCAUCACUUCACCCUCAUCACCACUCAGACACCACCCCUUCACCCCACAUCAGCCAAAACACUCGUCCCUUCCCUUCCUCCUCAACGAUCUCUUGUCUGCCAUACAAAACACCGGCGAUGGAGAGAGAGAACCGUGUUUGAAGAGACAGGCGCCGCGAGAGUAGAUAUAGAAAGAGGGAGCCAGUGAUCAACGAUUAAGAAGGUCACAACGGUGGUUCUGUGUUUUGGCGAUGGCGGUAUUAAGGUUCAAGCGACACUCCGGCUACCCCUUUUACACUAUACCUUAACAAAUUGAGCCGUUCUUCUAUGCUUUUUGGAGGUGUUUAAUCGUGUUUUCAUCUCGCCUUUGUGCUCGACUACUCAUUUGGGCAACUAGAAAAGCCGCAGGACGAGGACGACUGGCUCAACGAUGCUAACGACUCAACGAUGCUAGCGGCAUGAAUCCUCUACGACUUUCGAAGAUUUCCAUAAAUAAGUGUGUAGGCACACUAAUGUUAGUCACGCAACUUGCAACCAAAACAUUUGUAUAAAACCUAGAUACUAACUUUUUGCUCUAUGUGAUUAACCAUAUCGAUGUAACUUGAUGAUAACUAGCUGGAUGUAAAUAUAAAUCUAGCCCCCGCCGCAUCGCGGCGGGUUACAUUUCUAGUUGAUUGCUAAAUAAAAUCUUACCAAUAUAAUAAAGAAUUAUUAGU
RNAcentral lists this long non-coding RNA (708 nucleotides) under Helianthus annuus (common sunflower). RNAcentral's name for it is "hypothetical non coding rna". Lineage: Eukaryota; Viridiplantae; Streptophyta; Magnoliopsida; Asterales; Asteraceae. The record is from RNAcentral.